AGACAGCAGUAGCCGCGGGAAUACGGAGGGUGCAAGCGUUAUCCGGAUUUAUUGGGUUUAAAGGGUCCGUAGGCGGAUCUGUAAGUCAGUGGUGAAAUCUCACAGCUUAACUGUGAAACUGCCAUUGAUACUGCAGGUCUUGAGUAAAUUUGAAGUGGCUGGAAUAAGUAGUGUAGCGGUGAAAUGCAUAGAUAUUACUUAGAACACCAAUUGCGAAGGCAGGUCACUAAGAUUUAACUGACGCUGAUGGACGAAAGCGUGGGGAGCGAACAGGAUUAGAGACCCCGGUAGUCCCUGUCUCUUAUAC
Molecule: ribosomal RNA, 307 nt
Filed under: uncultured bacterium
Lineage: Bacteria
Description: partial 16S ribosomal RNA
Rfam family: Bacterial small subunit ribosomal RNA
Source: RNAcentral